Panicum virgatum (switchgrass) is the source of this 731-nucleotide long non-coding RNA. RefSeq lists it as uncharacterized. The transcript is spliced from 2 exons. The record is from RefSeq and is a predicted model, not a curated record. NCBI's taxonomy places the organism in Eukaryota, Viridiplantae, Streptophyta, Magnoliopsida, Poales, Poaceae.
CUCCCGCUGCCCGCGCUUGAAGGAGCUCUUCCUGAAGCGGGUCGUCCUCGUGAGGAGGCGAGACCUGCCUACUGUCCUCUCCAUACGCUUCGACUCGCUAGAGCGGCUCGAGAUGGACGACAUGCUGGACGUGAAAUCCGACGCCAGUCUCCAGGUUAUCGCCCCGAAGCUGAAGGUGUUUUCGUCGUCCCCGAGGAUCUUUAGCGACGCCGACAUCGUCGCGCCCAAGCUCUUGGAGGUGUGCUAGCAUGGCCCGUACGACCCGCCCCGGCAUCGUCUCCGAGAGGCCGGACGCCAUCUGCAGCGCCUGGAGAUUGCCGGGAACUGCUGGAACUCUCAGCAGGUGGCGACGCUGAUGCUCCGGUUUAACGCCGUCCACGAGUUGAACCUGACAGUCCAAUUAUGGAAGCACCAAUACGUUACGUCGGGGGCGAGCAUGUACAAAGUGCACAAGGUAAGCAAAAGCCAUCAUCGACCAUCCGCCGAUCUAGAGAAUCAAUUUUUCCUUUACAAAGAUGGAGAAGUGAUUCGCUAGAUUGAAUCGGAAGAAACGAGUAGACGGUAUCGAAAUGAGAGGAAACAUGAGAGAACUUUUCGAUAUAAUUUUAUUUUUUUAUAUCAUUUUGUGUCAAGUUAUCUUUUUUUACCACUAAUUAUUUUCUUUGAUACGAAUUACCUUUCUGGUAUUUUUCUAAAAAAAAAUCAGAGAGGAAAUGAAUAGAUCGUACCAA